AGUAAGAGCUUGCUCUCAUGGGUGGCGAGUGGCGGACGGGUGAGGAAUACAUCGGAAUCUACCUUUUCGUGGGGGAUAACGUAGGGAAACUUACGCUAAUACCGCAUACGACCUUCGGGUGAAAGCAGGGGACCUUCGGGCCUUGCGCGGAUAGAUGAGCCGAUGUCGGAUUAGCUAGUUGGCGGGGUAAAGGCCCACCAAGGCGACGAUCCGUAGCUGGUCUGAGAGGAUGAUCAGCCACACUGGAACUGAGACACGGUCCAGACUCCUACGGGAGGCAGCAGUGGGGAAUAUUGGACAAUGGGCGCAAGCCUGUCCAGCCAUACCGCGUGGGUGAAGAAGGCCUUCGGGUUGUAAAGCCCUUUUGUUGGGAAAGAAAAGCAGUCGAUUAAUACUCGGUUGUUCUGACGGUACCCAAAGAAUAAGCACCGGCUAACUUCGUGCCAGCAGCCGCGGUAAUACGAAGGGUGCAAGCGUUACUCGGAAUUACUGGGCGUAAAGCGUGCGUAGGUGGUUGUUUAAGUCUGUUGUGAAAGCCCUGGGCUCAACCUGGGAAUUGCAGUGGAUACUGGGCGACUAGAGUGUGGUAGAGGGUAGUGGAAUUCCCGGUGUAGCAGUGAAAUGCGUAGAGAUCGGGAGGAACAUCCAUGGCGAAGGCAGCUACCUGGACCAACACUGACACUGAGGCACGAAAGCGUGGGGAGC
RNAcentral lists this ribosomal RNA (705 nucleotides) under bacterium BTR88. Its description in RNAcentral is "bacterial SSU rRNA". It matches the Rfam family "Bacterial small subunit ribosomal RNA", at positions 71 to 769 of the family's 1533-position model. The record is from RNAcentral.